GCGCUCGUUGCUCGCUGAUUGGAGGACUCAAGGGAAGUCUUUGGCACGUGGGGAGAAGGAGUUUUGCUGUGUUUUCUGUGAGGUUACUACAAGGGGAAGCUGAAUCUCAGCUUUAGAGAGGUUCUCGAACCACUUGGGGCUAAUUUGGUGACCAGGGAAACUAGUUUGGAAGGUGUUCCAACUAAGGCAAGAGUGCGAUCGACUCUUGGAGUGACUUCAGCUGACUUGUGAAAGCUCUUGAAGACUCAACUUGAGCAGGUUCAGAGACCGUUUGAGCUGAGUUUGGAGCUUCUGUUGGGCUGUUUUGAGCUUAGUGAUAGAGCCAUCUACAGGAGAGGCUAGGGAUCGUGGCAAGGGA
This is a long non-coding RNA of Ananas comosus (pineapple), 358 nucleotides long. RefSeq lists it as uncharacterized. The record is from RefSeq and is a predicted model, not a curated record. The transcript is spliced from 5 exons. NCBI's taxonomy places the organism in Eukaryota, Viridiplantae, Streptophyta, Magnoliopsida, Poales, Bromeliaceae.